This 253-nucleotide ribosomal RNA is filed under the name uncultured bacterium. RNAcentral describes it as "partial 16S ribosomal RNA". It matches the Rfam family "Bacterial small subunit ribosomal RNA", at positions 524 to 776 of the family's 1533-position model. The record is from RNAcentral.
UACGGGGGGGGCAAGCGUUGUUCGGAAUUACUGGGCGUAAAGGGCUCGUAGGCGGCCAACUAAGUCCGACGUGAAAUCCCCAGGCUUAACCUGGGAACUGCGUCGGAUACUGGAUGGCUUGAAUUCGGGAGAGGGAUGCAGAAUUCCAGGUGUAGCGGUGAAAUGCGUAGAUAUCUGGAGGAAUACCGGUGGCGAAGGCGGCAUCCUGGACCGACAUUGACGCUGAGGCGCGAAAGCGUGGGGAGCAAACAGG